Molecule: RNA transcript, 2342 nt
Organism: Schistocerca nitens (vagrant locust)
Lineage: Eukaryota; Metazoa; Arthropoda; Insecta; Orthoptera; Acrididae
Exons: 3
Source: RefSeq, a predicted model, not a curated record
AAAUAAAAAAAAUUGUUUUCGGUCAAUAUUCUCUCAAAAUACAUGUUAUUUUUAUGCAAAUAAGAGCCGGCCGGUGUGGCCGAGCGGUUCUAGGCACUUCAGUCUGGAACUGCGCGACCCCUACUGCCACAGGUUCGAAUCCUGCCUCGGCCAUGGAUGUGUGUGAUGUCCUUAGGUUAGUUAGGUUUAAGUAGUUCUAAGUUCUAGGGGACUGAUGACCUCAGAUGUUAAGUCCCAUAGUGCUCAGAGCCAUUUUUGCGAAUAAGAAUUUAAAUAUCAUUAAAUAUCAAGACAUUGGCUCUGCUUACAUAUAUUAAAUGAGUGUGAACUGACGUUACUAGUGACUUUGUGUACUUUUUCCCACAGAUAGGUUAGUUAGUAAUUAUUGAAAUGUGUUUACAAAUUUCAGGAAACAAUGGAAAGCAAUUACAUGAAGCCUGAUAUUGGAAACCUUCCAAACUAUCACACAUUUAUAACUUUCACAGCACCAUUUUGCAACGAAGUUAGUCUACGUUCCUCUGCGGAAUAGUAUGAGAGCUGUGCAAAGCCGGCACGGUAGCUCAGUGUGUUCGGUCAGAGGGCUGUGUCCUCUCUGUAAUAAAAAAAUUGAGUCAAGGAAUCAACGAUCAACUUGAACGGAUGUCUAUUAUGAACUCACUUUCCAACCAGAUGCGUCUGCUGGUGAUUCUUUAGUAACACAAUCACUAAAUCCAAAGCUAAAACAGCUAAAUAUGUUUAAGAUAACAAAUUAUAGGUGUACAUAAACCACAGCUCACCGAACGACAGGGCCAGACCGGAAUCCAAAACUUCGCGGUACAAUUGUCGUAAAAUCGGUGGGAGGACUGUUCGGUAACAAGUCUCAGAACCUUACUGAAUAGUAUAUUUCGAUAAAAAACCGAAAAUGACAUCACUACCGAGACUAACCUACUACACCGAUCGGUAUGAACGAUAUAGAAUAGGGCCCCUGGUGUGAACCGUACCGUAAGCGCCUCACCCUCACAGCCGGUGCUGGGUAGAUGUGAAAUAAACCUAAGAAUACCUGUAAUGUGCUGAACCUUAUGGCUAUCAACCUCAAUGCAACCUUGAGAUCGGCUAACAAGACUCUGAUGCACCCUGGUAAAUAUCCCUGGUGUGUUUUUUUAAUAGAAGGCUGCUACAUAGAGAUAAGAAUGUUUCUAUCAUUCUCCAUUUUCUUGAUUUCUUCGUGUACGGUCUCUUCCUUGGUCAAAGGAAUCAAAAAUCCUGCACCAGUAAUACAGUUGGCUGAAAGAUUCUCAACCACAAGGAAUGUGCUGUAAAAGCUCCAAUAUUUCCAGCUGAGGCUGCCAACUAAUAUUCUUUGGCCUGGUGCCUAUCACACCAGAAUCCUACAAUUCUGGAGUGGUAAUGUGGGAGGUGUACCCACCUAACAUAUUUGUUUAAACAAAUCCCAGAACUGUCAUUCUCCGAUGGAGUGGUGUCUAUUACUACUACAGUACAUACUUUACCUGCUUCAGCUUCAAAUGGAACCUGUACCACUGUAUAAAUAGACGGGCAAUUUUAGCUUGGGACAGAGUGUGCCAAGUCAGUCGGGCGUCGGGACGGACCUGUGCUGGUCUUCGCUUAUAGGGGCCAGUUUGGCAGCCAUGUUAUAAGUAUUCUGCAUAAACUUGUAUUCUGUUUUCUAUGAACUUGUUCGGGCUAUAUUCUGCCUCAGGGGACACAGCACCGGGGCAGGACGGAACAGCAGUCUGGAAUAUGGAGAUCACACGGUCUGCCUGAAAGAGGCCAAUGACAGCAGUCUGCAGCGCGUCCAGGAGGGGCUCGGUUCCACUCGAGUCUACGGGCCACUUUCGCUUCCCACCUGGCGUACUGGGAUCCGGGUGAGGUGUAUGCUGUGGGAGGCACAGCAACACUGCAGCAGCGCCAGAGACAACGGCUGGUGUUGCCAUUCGGCAAGCACCACUAGCGGCAAGUUGAAGCACAACAUCCAGGAGGGCACGGCAGCAGGAGGGCGUGCAGCACCCGGCCCAAGGGUCACAGGUGACCAGCACACCCACCUUUGUCCCAUGGUCGGACAGAGCAGGCCAAACGGGGUGGAGAGCGGCGAGGUCCAGGGACUGUAGCAGUCUCUGAAACCACGGGCAAUGGAGCGGCGCCAGACGAAACGACCUGGCAGGCAGCGACCAGGAGAGCGCAGCCGAAUUUCAUCGGCUGGUGACCUUGAUGACAGCAGAAGUGGCGUCGGCAUACCAGGAGUCUGCUGAGCAGGCUGGACUCGCGGGACAGCGCGUGGAUGUCAUGCUGACACUCCACUUCACUCAUCGAGUACUGUAAAUUAGCUGAAUAAACAAAUGUUAUGA